Molecule: ribosomal RNA, 484 nt
Filed under: uncultured bacterium
Lineage: Bacteria
Description: partial 16S ribosomal RNA
Rfam family: Bacterial small subunit ribosomal RNA
Source: RNAcentral
AUUGAACGCUGGCGGCAUGCUUUACACAUGCAAGUCGAACGGCAGCGCGGGCUUCGGCCUGGCGGCGAGUGGCGAACGGGUGAGUAAUACAUCGGAACGUGCCCAGUAGUGGGGGAUAGCUCGGCGAAAGCCGGAUUAAUACCGCAUACGACCUGAGGGUGAAAGCGGGGGAUCUUCGGACCUCGCGCUAUUGGAGCGGCCGAUGGCAGAUUAGCUAGUUGGUGGGGUAAAGGCCUACCAAGGCGACGAUCUGUAGCUGGUCUGAGAGGACGACCAGCCACACUGGGACUGAGACGGGGCCCAGACUACUACGGGAGGCAGCAGUGGGGAAUUUUGGACGAUGGGCGAAAGCCUGAUCCAGCAAUGCCGCGUGAGUGAUGAGGGCCUUCGGGUUGUAAAGCACUUUUGGCGGGAACGAAAAGGACUGUGCCAAUACCACGGUUCGAUGACGGUACCCGAAGAAUAAGCACCGGCUAACUACGUG